UGUACAUGCAACCCUUUUUUACUCUCUUCCAAAGGCUUCAAGCUGCUAUAUGAAAACAAUCAUAGUUCGAAGUCUUGGAAGAGAGUAAAGAAAAGUUGUCAUGAUUUU
Molecule: microRNA precursor, 108 nt
Filed under: Gossypium raimondii (Peruvian cotton)
Lineage: Eukaryota; Viridiplantae; Streptophyta; Magnoliopsida; Malvales; Malvaceae
Description: miR477 stem-loop (gra-MIR477)
Gene: gra-MIR477
Source: miRBase by way of RNAcentral